GACGAACGCUGGCGGCGUGCUUAACACAUGCAAGUCGAACGGAAAGGCCCUGCUUUUGUGGGGUGCUCGAGUGGCGAACGGGUGAGUAACACGUGAGUAACCUGCCCUUGACUUUGGGAUAACUUCAGGAAACUGGGGCUAAUACCGGAUAGGAGCUCCUGCUGCAUGGUGGGGGUUGGAAAGUUUCGGCGGUUGGGGAUGGACUCGCGGCUUAUCAGCUUGUUGGUGGGGUAGUGGCUUACCAAGGCUUUGACGGGUAGCCGGCCUGAGAGGGUGACCGGCCACAAUGGGACUGAGAUACGGCCCAGACUCCUACGGGAGGCAGCAGUGGGGAAUAUUGCACAAUGGGCGGGAGCCUGAUGCAGCAACGCCGCGUGCGGGAUGACGGCCUUCGGGUUGUAAACCGCUUUCGCCUGUGACGAAGCGUGAGUGACGGUAAUGGGUAAAGAAGCACCGGCUAACUACGUG
Molecule: ribosomal RNA, 468 nt
Filed under: uncultured bacterium
Lineage: Bacteria
Description: partial 16S ribosomal RNA
Rfam family: Bacterial small subunit ribosomal RNA
Source: RNAcentral